RNAcentral lists this transfer RNA (73 nucleotides) under Diaphorina citri (Asian citrus psyllid). It matches the Rfam family "tRNA". From Rfam's summary of the family: Transfer RNA (tRNA) molecules are approximately 80 nucleotides in length. Their secondary structure includes four short double-helical elements and three loops (D, anti-codon, and T loops). Further hydrogen bonds mediate the characteristic L-shaped molecular structure. tRNAs have two regions of fundamental functional importance: the anti-codon, which is responsible for specific mRNA codon recognition, and the 3' end, to which the tRNAs corresponding amino acid is attached (by aminoacyl-tRNA synthetases). tRNAs cope with the degeneracy of the genetic code in two manners: having more than one tRNA (with a specific anti-codon) for a particular amino acid; and 'wobble' base-pairing, i.e. permitting non-standard base-pairing at the 3rd anti-codon position. Lineage: Eukaryota; Metazoa; Arthropoda; Insecta; Hemiptera; Psyllidae. The record is from Rfam by way of RNAcentral.
GCCUAGUUUGAUUAGUUGGUAGAGCGUCUGCCUUGUAAGCGGUAGGCCGCGGGUUCGAUUCCCACCCAAGGUG